UACGAAGGGUGCUAGCGUUGUUCGGAAUUACUGGGCGUAAAGCGUGCGUAGGUUGUAUGGUUAGUUAGUGGUGAAAGCCCAGAGCUUAACUCUGGAAUUGCCAUUAAAACUGCCAUGCUAGAGAGUGUUAGAGGUAAGUGGAAUUCCUAGUGUAGGAGUGAAAUCCGUAGAUAUUAGGAGGAACAUCAAUGGCGAAGGCAGCUUACUGGGUCACAUCUGACACUGAGGCACGAAAGCGUGGGUAGCAAACAGG
RNAcentral lists this ribosomal RNA (253 nucleotides) under uncultured bacterium. RNAcentral's name for it is "partial 16S ribosomal RNA". It matches the Rfam family "Bacterial small subunit ribosomal RNA", at positions 524 to 776 of the family's 1533-position model. The record is from RNAcentral.